RNAcentral lists this ribosomal RNA (726 nucleotides) under uncultured Pseudomonadales bacterium. Its description in RNAcentral is "bacterial SSU rRNA". It matches the Rfam family "Bacterial small subunit ribosomal RNA", at positions 58 to 779 of the family's 1533-position model. The record is from RNAcentral. Lineage: Bacteria; Pseudomonadati; Pseudomonadota; Gammaproteobacteria; Pseudomonadales.
CAAGUCGAGCGAAUGAGAAGAGCUUGCUCUUCGAUUCAGCGGCGGACGGGUGAGUAAUGCCUAGGAAUCUGCCUGGUAGUGGGGGACAACGUUUCGAAAGGAACGCUAAUACCGCAUACGUCCUACGGGAGAAAGCAGGGGACCUUCGGGCCUUGCGCUAUCAGAUGAGCCUAGGUCGGAUUAGCUAGUUGGUGAGGUAAUGGCUCACCAAGGCGACGAUCCGUAACUGGUCUGAGAGGAUGAUCAGUCACACUGGAACUGAGACACGGUCCAGACUCCUACGGGAGGCAGCAGUGGGGAAUAUUGGACAAUGGGCGAAAGCCUGAUCCAGCCAUGCCGCGUGUGUGGAGAAGGUCUUCGGAUUGUAAAGCACUUUAAGUUGGGAGGAAGGGCAUUAACCUAAUACGUUAGUGUUUUGACGUUACCGACAGAAUAAGCACCGGCUAACUCUGUGCCAGCAGCCGCGGUAAUACAGAGGGUGCAAGCGUUAAUCGGAAUUACUGGGCGUAAAGCGCGCGUAGGUGGUUUGUUAAGUUGGAUGUGAAAGCCCCGGGCUCAACCUGGGAACUGCAUCCAAAACUGGCAAGCUAGAGUACGGUAGAGGGUGGUGGAAUUUCCUGUGUAGCGGUGAAAUGCGUAGAUAUAGGAAGGAACACCAGUGGCGAAGGCGACCACCUGGACUGAUACUGACACUGAGGUGCGAAAGCGUGGGGAGCAAACAGGAUU